This 313-nucleotide ribosomal RNA is filed under the name uncultured Lachancea. Its description in RNAcentral is "partial large subunit ribosomal RNA". It matches the Rfam family "Eukaryotic large subunit ribosomal RNA", at positions 40 to 350 of the family's 3401-position model. The record is from RNAcentral. Lineage: Eukaryota; Fungi; Ascomycota; Saccharomycetes; Saccharomycetales; Saccharomycetaceae.
AUAUCAAUAAGCGGAGGAAAAGAAACCAACCGGGAUUGCCUCAGUAACGGCGAGUGAAGCGGCAAAAGCUCAAAUUUGAAAUCUGGCAUCUUCGAUGUCCGAGUUGUAAUUUGAAGAAAGUAACUUUGGGUUUGGCUCUUGUGUAUGUCCCUUGGAAUAGGGUGUAAUAAAGGGUGAGAACCCCGUAUCGCGAGAUUACCAUUCCUAUGUAAAGUGCUUUCGAAGAGUCGAGCUGUUUGGGAUUGCAGCUCUAAGUGGGUGGUAAACUCCAUCUAAAGCUAAAUAUUGGCGAGAGACCGAUAGCGCACAAGUA